CUUUAACCCUGGAUUAGCUUCCUUUUCCAGGUUUAGGAGCUGACCCCAACAUUUCCCCCGCUCCGCUACCUGAACUCUGAGAGAUAGACCUCUCCUUGGGGAUGGCCAUUGGAGUUGUUUUCUGGAUUGAAGCCAGCUUGGACUCAUCACAACAACAAAGAUGUCCAUCUGGUUUUUGCAGGAGGACAGUGGGGCUCGUGGAGUGAACCCUGGGGCUGCUCUGCGUUGAUGCUCAGACAGCGAGCAGGAGACGUUGACUAAUGUGCUAUAUACCGAGCAGAGGUUUGGCAAUGCCAGGGGCUUCAAUGAUGACUUUUCCUGCAGGCCCACCCAUUGGUGCCCGGCGGCACGGGGAGGGGAGGGUGGAAGGUUUGAGUGAGCGAUAGGGGAGGAGGUCAGACGGCA
This is a long non-coding RNA of Syngnathus typhle (broad-nosed pipefish), 405 nucleotides long. RefSeq lists it as uncharacterized. The transcript is spliced from 3 exons. NCBI's taxonomy places the organism in Eukaryota, Metazoa, Chordata, Actinopteri, Syngnathiformes, Syngnathidae. The record is from RefSeq and is a predicted model, not a curated record.